RNAcentral lists this long non-coding RNA (926 nucleotides) under Octopus vulgaris (common octopus). The record is from RNAcentral. Lineage: Eukaryota; Metazoa; Mollusca; Cephalopoda; Octopoda; Octopodidae.
CAAAUUUGUUGUCAUUGUUAUUUUCGUGAUGUUACGAAAAAGAAAAUAUAAAAAUUCUUCGACUUCAUUUCAAUUUGUCAAUGAUUUUCAACUACCUCUGUUGAACAUCAGUUGUUAUUCUGCCGAUGUCUACAACCAUAAGUUCCUGGUCGUAAGUAUGUGAAUUUUUUUAAAAUCCGAAAAAAUGUCGCAACGUAAAAAUAAACUCAAGGAUGUAACUAACAACACACCUUCAUUGUAAUCUAAAAUACCCACUUCCCUCUCAAAAUAAUUUGAACUAAUACAUUUACAGACGCCAUUUUUAUUAAGAAGAGUGAAAGUAGAGUUGUAAGCUCAAAUGUCGUUACAUGAUAGUUUAAAGUUUAGAGGGAAACAUGAAAUAUAAAAUUACUUUUCAAACUUAGCGUUUUUCUGAGGCACUUAUGACGAUUCUUCGUUUCCAGGGCCCCAUGAAGGUGAAACAACAAAAUUUGCUGUUAAUUGUUUGAACUCUUUUCUAUUAGCAUUUCAUUUACUUUCACAGAAGACCUACUUAUCUACCCCAGACGUAAGAGGUAUGUGCAAACUGUCUGGUUUAGUAUACCUGUGGCUGGAUUAAUCGAAGUUAGUCUACAGCAUCAGUUCCAGUUUUCUUUUAGUUUUGAGAUUAUUUUUUUCUUUGCUUUUAUUCAGAUUAUCAAAUAUACAACGGAAUAUUCAGCUGUCUCAAAACUUUCCAAAGAAAGAAUUGAAAAAAUUGAAAGAACUGAAAAAAUGGUAUUGUAUUAGCAACGCCUUGCAGAAAUUUUAUUUGCUUCGAAAAAAGAAAACUUUGAAGCUAAUGAAGAAGUAACAGGUGUCUCUUUUGAGAAACUAGCUGUAUAUGGAUUCUAUUAAGGUUCUCAUUUUUGUUAAAUGAAUAAAUAAGUCAACAUUCUAAUAUCCGA